UAAUACCGCAUAAGCGCACAGGGCCGCAUGGCCCGGUGUGAAAAACUCCGGUGGUAUGAGAUGGACCCGCGUCUGAUUAGCUAGUUGGCAGGGAACGGCCUACCAAGGCGACGAUCAGUAGCCGGCCUGAGAGGGUGGACGGCCACAUUGGGACUGAGACACGGCCCAGACUCCUACGGGAGGCAGCAGUGGGAAUAUUGCACAAUGGGGGAAACCCUGAUGCAGCGAUGCCGCGUGAAGGAAGAAGGUUUCGGAUUGUAAACCUCUGUCUUUGGGGACGAUAAUGACGGUACCCAAGGAGGAAGCUCCGGCUAACUACGUGCCAGCAGCCGCGGUAAUACGUAGGGAGCAAGCGUUAUCCGGAAUUACUGGGUGUAAAGGGAGUGUAGGCGGGACUGCAAGUCAGAUGUGAAAAUUAUGGGCUCAACUCAUAACCUGCAUUUGAAACUGUAGUUCUUGAGUGAAGUAGAGGUAAGCGGAAUUCCUAGUGUAGCGGUGAAAUGCGUAGAUAUUAGGAGGAACAUCAGUGGCGAAGGCGGCUUACUGGGCUUUUACUGACGCUGAGGCUCGAAAGCGUGGGGAGCAAACAGGAUUAGAUACCCUGGUAGUCACGCUGUAAACGAUGAUUACUAGGUGUGGGGGGACUGACCCCUUCCGUGCGCAGUUAACACAAUAAGUAAUCCACCUGGGGAGUACGGUCGCAAGACUGAAACUCAAAGGAAUUGACGGGGGCCCGCACAAGCAGUGGAGUAUGCGGUUUAAUUCGACGCAACGCGAAGAACCUUACCAGGUCUUGACAUCUAACGAAUGCUGUAGAGAUACGGCAGUGCCCUUCGGGAACGUUAAGACAGGUGGUGCAUGGUUGUCGUCAGCUCGUGUCGUGAGAUGUUGGGUUAAGUCCCGCAACGAGCGCAACCCUUAUGUUUAGUUGCUACGCAAGAGCACUCUAGAAGACUGCCGUUGACAAAACGGAGGAAGGUGGGGAUGACGUCAAAUCAUCAUGCCCCUUAUGACCUGGGCUACACGCGUACUACAAUGGCCGUCAACAGAGGGAAGCAAUACAGCGAUGUGGA
This 1073-nucleotide ribosomal RNA is filed under the name uncultured bacterium. Its description in RNAcentral is "bacterial SSU rRNA". It matches the Rfam family "Bacterial small subunit ribosomal RNA", at positions 164 to 1266 of the family's 1533-position model. The record is from RNAcentral.